AAGUCCCCUUCGGGGGACAAGUAGAGUGGCGCACGGGUGAGUAACACGUAGGUAAUCUACCUUCGGGUGGGGAAUAACCCCGGGAAACCGGGGCUAAUACCGCAUAAUGCAGCGGCACCUAAUGGUGACAGUUGUUAAAGCGGGGGAUCGCAAGAUCUCGCGCCUGAAGAGGAGCCUGCGGCGGAUUAGCUAGUUGGCAGGGUAACGGCCUACCAAGGCGACGAUCCGUAGCCGGCCUGAGAGGGCGGUCGGCCACACUGACACUGACAUACGGGUCAGACUCCUACGGGAGGCAGCAGUCGGGAAUUUUGGGCAAUGGGCGAAAGCCUGACCCAGCAACGCCGCGUGAAGGAUGAAAUCCCUCGGGAUGUAAACUUCGCAAGAACGGGAAGAAUAAGUUUGUGCUAACACCACAAGCGAUGACGGUACUGUUUGUAAGCUCCGGCUAACUCCGUGCCAGCAGCCGCGGUAAUACGGGGGGAGCAAGCGUUGUUCGGAUUUACUGGGCGUAAAGGGCGCGUAGGCGGCCUCCGCAAGUCAGUUGUGAAAUCUCCGAGCUUAACUCGGAAAGGUCAACUGAUACUGCGGGGCUAGAGUGCGGAAGGGGCAACUGGAAUUCUUGGUGUAGCGGUGAAAUGCGUAGAUAUCAAGAGGAACACCUGCGGCGAAGGCGGGUUGCUGGGCCGACACUGACGCUGAGGCGCGAAAGCUAGGGGAGCGAACGGGAUUAGAUACCCCGGUAGUCCUAGCCUUAAACGAUGAAUGCUUGGUGUCUGGGGUUAUAUAG
RNAcentral lists this ribosomal RNA (787 nucleotides) under uncultured Bacteroidota bacterium. RNAcentral describes it as "bacterial SSU rRNA". It matches the Rfam family "Bacterial small subunit ribosomal RNA", at positions 71 to 836 of the family's 1533-position model. Lineage: Bacteria; Pseudomonadati; Bacteroidota. The record is from RNAcentral.